RNAcentral lists this ribosomal RNA (497 nucleotides) under uncultured bacterium. Its description in RNAcentral is "partial 16S ribosomal RNA". It matches the Rfam family "Bacterial small subunit ribosomal RNA", at positions 28 to 507 of the family's 1533-position model. The record is from RNAcentral.
GAUGAACGCUGGCGGCGUGCCUAAUACAUGCAAGUCGAGCGAACGGACGAGAAGCUUGCUUCUCUGAUGUUAGCGGCGGACGGGUGAGCAACACGUGGAUAACCUACCUAUAAGACUGGGAUAACUUCGGGAAACCGGAGCUAAUACCGGAUGAUAUUUUGAACCGCAUGGUUCAAAAGUGAAAGACGGUCUUGCUGUCACUUAUGGAUGGAUCCGCGCUGCAUUAGCUAGUUGGUAAGGUAACGGCUUACCAAGGCAACGAUGCAUAGCCGACCUGAGAGGGUGAUCGGCCACACUGGAACUGAGACACGGUCCAGACUCCUACGGGAGGCAGCAGUAGGGAAUCUUCCGCAAUGGGCGAAAGCCUGACGGAGCAACGCCGCGUGAGUGAGGAAGGUCUUCGGAUCGUAAAACUCUGUUAUUAGGGAAGAACAUAUGUGUAAGUAACUGUGCACAUCUUGACGGUACCUAAUCAGAAAGCCACGGCUAACUACGUG